AAGUGGCGGGCGCGCCUGGACCCGUAGCGCAGUAAUACACCUCGCUCGCGGCGUCCCGGCGCGUGCCGGCCGUAAAACCCCUUUAUCUCAAGGUUGACCUCGGAUCAGGUAGGAAUACCCGCUGAACUUAAGCAUAUCAAUAAGCGGAGGAAAAGAAACCAACAGGGAUUGCCCUAGUAACGGCGAGUGAAGCGGCAACAGCUCAAAUUUGAAAUCUGGCCUCGGCCCGAGUUGUAAUUUGCAGAGGAUGCUUCUGGCGCGGUGCCUUCCGAGUCCCCUGGAACGGGGCGCCACAGAGGGUGAGAGCCCCGUAUGGUUGGACGCCUAGCCUGUGUGAAGCUCCUUCGACGAGUCGAGUAGUUUGGGAAUGCUGCUCUAAAUGGGAGGUAAAUUCCUUCUAAAGCUAAAUACCGGCCAGAGACCGAUAGCGCACAAGUAGAGUGAUCGAAAGAUGAAAAGCACUUUGAAAAGAGAGUCAAACAGCACGUGAAAUUGUUGAAAGGGAAGCGCUCGUGACCAGACGUGCGCCGGGCCGAUCCUCCGGUGUUCUCACCGGGGCCCUCGGCCCGGCUCAGGCCAGCAUCGGUUUUCGCUGGGGGACAAAGGCGCCGGGAAAGUAGCUCCCUCGGGAGUGUUAUAGCCCGGCGCGUAAUACCCCAGC
This 661-nucleotide ribosomal RNA is filed under the name Sordariomycetes sp. RNAcentral's name for it is "eukaryotic LSU rRNA". The stretch from base 95 to 661 matches the Rfam family "Eukaryotic large subunit ribosomal RNA", at positions 1 to 580 of the family's 3401-position model. Lineage: Eukaryota; Fungi; Ascomycota; Sordariomycetes. The record is from RNAcentral.